UAAGUAAUUGUAGAAAGGUGUUCAACAUAAAGGAAAAUUGAUUUAUUAUUUUCUAUUUUUGAAUUUGAAUAUAGGAACACCGUACUAUAAAUAGGGACGUGGCUAGUUGGCUUCAAGAUGUCAAAGUGCUUACUUGAGAUGCUAACUACCUAUGAGACAUACCUUAAUCACACACUUGCACAUUUUAUUUCUCACAAUUUUCUGUGAGUGUUCGAAGUUCCGACACCUGUUAGAUAUUUCAAAAACUUCCGACAAGGAGUGCUCAACAGAUUUCAUUUAAUUGUGUCGGAAGUUCCGUCCCUGUGUCAGAAGUUCCGACAGAUACAUUAACAGCACAACAACGGCUAGUUUUGGGGCUCGGGUAUUUAUACCCCCUCAGCACCCUCUUCAUUUGCCGCUGACCUAACCCGAGACAAAUACCUCCAAGAACAUUCAAUACUCCUCCC
This 446-nucleotide long non-coding RNA is filed under the name Setaria viridis. Its description in RNAcentral is "long non-coding RNA (SVIR_LNC007852)". Lineage: Eukaryota; Viridiplantae; Streptophyta; Magnoliopsida; Poales; Poaceae. The record is from RNAcentral.